ACUUUAACCCACUUAAGGGAACCUGUCCUUUAAUUCGAUAAUCCAGGACAAUCUUAUUUAUUUUAGAACAAUUCAGCUUGUAUACCGUCGUCACAAGUUAACCUUAAAAAGAAAAAAAGUUAACAAUAAAGAUAGACUUUACUUUUGUCUAACAGGUCAGAUCAAGGUGCAGCCAAUAAAUAAAGAGGAGAUGGGUUACAAUUAACAAUUUCUAAUGGAAUCUUAAAAGAAAAAUAAAGAAAGAAAUAGGACUUAAAAGUAAUUUGUAAAAACAAGUACCAAUGAAUAAGGAAACAAAGUGUGC
This 304-nucleotide ribosomal RNA is filed under the name Cellana orientalis. Its description in RNAcentral is "Cellana radiata orientalis partial 12S ribosomal RNA". The record is from RNAcentral. Lineage: Eukaryota; Metazoa; Mollusca; Gastropoda; Nacellidae.